CAACUACUCCCUCUGUCCCAAAUUUCUUGUCUUAGAUUUGUCUAGAUACGGAUGUAUCUAAUACUAAAAUGUGACUUGAUACAUCCGUAUCUAGACAAAUCUAAGACAAGAAUUUUGGGACGGAGGGAGAACUUU
This is a non-coding RNA of Triticum aestivum (bread wheat), 135 nucleotides long. Lineage: Eukaryota; Viridiplantae; Streptophyta; Magnoliopsida; Poales; Poaceae. The record is from Rfam.